GGUUAAGUUAGAAAGGGCGCACGGUGAAUGCCUUGGCACUAGGAGCCGAUGAAGGACGGGACUAACACCGAUAUGCUUCGGGGAGCUGUAAGUGAGCUUUGAUCCGGAGAUUUCCGAAUGGGGAAACCCACUGUUCGUAAUGGAACAGUAUCUUUAUCUGAAUACAUAGGAUAUUGAAGGCAGACCCGGGGAACUGAAACAUCUAAGUACCCGGAGGAAGAGAAAGCAAAUGCGAUUUCCUGAGUAGCGGCGAGCGAAACGGAAUUAGCCCAAACCAAGAGGCUUGCCUCUUGGGGUUGUAGGACACUCUAUACGGAGUUACAAAGGAACGAAGUAAAUGAAGCGACCUGGAAAGGUCCGUCAAAGAAGGUAACAACCCUGUAGUUGAAACUUCGUUCCCUCUUGAGUGGAUCCUGAGUACGGCGGAACACGUGAAAUUCCGUCGGAAGCUGGGAGGACCAUCUCCCAAGGCUAAAUACUACCUAGUGACCGAUAGUGAACCAGUACCGUGAGGGAAAGGUGAAAAGCACCCCGGAAGGGGAGUGAAAGAGAUCCUGAAACCGUGUGCCUACAAGUAGUCAGAGCCCGUUAACGGGUGAUGGCGUGCCUUUUGUAGAAUGAACCGGCGAGUUACGAUCCCAUGCAAGGUUAAGCUGAUAAGGCGGAGCCGUAGCGAAAGCGAGUCUGAAUAGGGCGUUUAGUAUGUGGUUGUAGACCCGAAACCAGGUGAUCUACCCAUGUCCAGGGUGAAGUUCAGGUAACACUGAAUGGAGGCCCGAACCCACGCACGUUGAAAAGUGCGGGGAUGAGGUGUGGGUAGCGGAGAAAUUCCAAUCGAACCUGGAGAUAGCUGGUUCUCUCCGAAAUAGCUUUAGGGCUAGCCUCAUGUUGUGAGAGUCUUGGAGGUAGAGCACUGAUUGGACUAGGGGCCCCCAACGGGUUACCGAAUUCAGUCAAACUCCGAAUGCCAAAGACUUAUCCAUGGGAGUCAGACUGCGAGUGAUAAGAUCCGUAGUCAAAAGGGAAACAGCCCAGACCACCAGCUAAGGUCCCCAAGUAUACGUUAAGUGGAAAAGGAUGUGGAGUUGCUUAGACAACCAGGAUGUUGGCUUAGAAGCAGCCACCAUUUAAAGAGUGCGUAAUAGCUCACUGGUCGAGUGACUCUGCGCCGAAAAUGUACCGGGGCUAAACGUAUCACCGAAGCUGUGGAUUGACAUCUUUGAUGUCAGUGGUAGGAGAGCGUUCUAAGUGCUGUGAAGUCAGACCGUAAGGACUGGUGGAGCGCUUAGAAGUGAGAAUGCCGGUAUGAGUAGCGAAAGACAAGUGAGAAUCUUGUCCACCGAAUGCCUAAGGUUUCCUGAGGAAGGCUCGUCCGCUCAGGGUUAGUCGGGACCUAAGCCGAGGCUGAAAAGCGUAGGCGAUGGCCAACAGGUUGAUAUUCCUGUACCACCUCCCCGCCGUUUGAGUAAUGGGGGGACGCAGUAGGAUAGGGUAAGCGCGCUGCUGGAUAUGCGCGUUCAAGCAGUUAGGCUGAUGAGUAGGCAAAUCCGCUCAUCAUAAAGGCUGAGCUGUGAUGACGAGGGAAUUAUAGUACCGAAGUUCCUGAUUCCACACUGCCAAGAAAAGCCUCUAGCGAGGCGGGAGGUGCCCGUACCGCAAACCGACACAGGUAGGCGAGGAGAGAAUCCUAAGGUGAUCGAGAGAACUCUCGUUAAGGAACUCGGCAAAAUGACCCCGUAACUUCGGGAGAAGGGGUGCUCUGGUAGGGUGUAUAGCCCGAGAGAGCCGCAGUGAAUAGGCCCAGGCGACUGUUUAGCAAAAACACAGGUCUCUGCGAAGCCGCAAGGCGAAGUAUAGGGGCUGACGCCUGCCCGGUGCUGGAAGGUUAAGAGGAGGGGUUAUCCUUUGGGAGAAGCUCUGAAUCGAAGCCCCAGUAAACGGCGGCCGUAACUAUAACGGUCCUAAGGUAGCGAAAUUCCUUGUCGGGUAAGUUCCGACCCGCACGAAAGGCGUAACGAUCUGGGCACUGUCUCAACGAGAGACUCGGUGAAAUUAUAGUACCUGUGAAGAUGCAGGUUACCCGCGACAGGACGGAAAGACCCCGUGGAGCUUUACUGUAGCCUGAUAUUGAAUUUUGGUACAGCUUGUACAGGAUAGGUAGGAGCCUGAGAAGCCGGAGCGCUAGCUUCGGUGGAGGCGUCGGUGGGAUACUACCCUGGCUGUAUUGAAAUUCUAACCCGCGGCCCUGAUCGGGCCGGGAGACAGUGUCAGGUGGGCAGUUUGACUGGGGCGGUCGCCUCCUAAAAUGUAACGGAGGCGCCCAAAGGUUCCCUCAGAAUGGUUGGAAAUCAUUCGUAGAGUGUAAAGGCACAAGGGAGCUUGACUGCGAGACCUACAAGUCGAGCAGGGACGAAAGUCGGGCUUAGUGAUCCGGUGGUUCCGCAUGGAAGGGCCAUCGCUCAACGGAUAAAAGCUACCCCGGGGAUAACAGGCUUAUCUCCCCCAAGAGUCCACAUCGACGGGGAGGUUUGGCACCUCGAUGUCGGCUCAUCGCAUCCUGGGGCUGUAGUCGGUCCCAAGGGUUGGGCUGUUCGCCCAUUAAAGCGGUACGCGAGCUGGGUUCAGAACGUCGUGAGACAGUUCGGUCCCUAUCCGUCGUGGGCGUAGGAAAUUUGAGAGGAGCUGUCCUUAGUACGAGAGGACCGGGAUGGACACACCGCUGGUGUACCAGUUGUCUUGCCAAAGGCAUCGCUGGGUAGCUAUGUGUGGACGGGAUAAGUGCUGAAAGCAUCUAAGCAUGAAGCCCCCCUCAAGAUGAGAUUUCCCAUAGCGUAAGCUAGUAAGAUCCCUGAAAGAUGAUCAGGUUGAUAGGUCAGAGGUGGAAGCGUGGCGACAUGUGUAGCUGACUGAUACUAAUCGAUCGAGGACUUAACCAA
Molecule: ribosomal RNA, 2936 nt
Filed under: Priestia megaterium
Lineage: Bacteria; Bacillati; Bacillota; Bacilli; Caryophanales; Bacillaceae
Also listed under: 2 other names
Description: 23S ribosomal RNA
Rfam family: Bacterial large subunit ribosomal RNA
Source: RNAcentral